GCUCAGAAUGAACGCUGGCGGCGUGCUUAACACAUGCAAGUCGAACGAGAAAGCCGAAAGCUUGCUUUUGGCGAGUAAAGUGGCGCACGGGUGAGUAACGCGUGGGUAAUCUGCCUUCGAAUUUGGGAUAACACUUCGAAAGGAGUGCUAAUACCGGAUAACAUCUUUUUAACUUUGGUUAAAGAGAUCAAAGAUAGCCUCUACAUGUAAGCUAUUGUUUGGAGAUGAGCCCGCGUACCAUUAGCUUGUUGGUAGGGUAACGGCCUACCAAGGCGACGAUGGUUAGCUGGUCUGAGAGGAUGAUCAGCCACACUGGAACUGGAACACGGUCCAGACUCCUACGGGAGGCAGCAGUGAGGAAUUUUGCGCAAUGGGGGAAACCCUGACGCAGCAACGCCGCGUGAGUGAUGAAGGCUUUCGGGUCGUAAGCUCUGUCAAGUGGGAAGAAGUUAUCAUAUAUUAAUAGUAUGUGGUAUUGACGGUACCACUGAAGGAAGCACCGGCUAACUCCGUGCCAGCAGCCGCGGUAAUACGGAGGGUGCAAGCGUUAUUCGGAUUUACUGGGCGUAAAGGGCGCGUAGGCGGUCUGAUAAGUCAGUUGUGAAAGCCCGGGGCUCAACCCCGGAAGUGCAAUUGAAACUGUCAGGCUUGAGUAUGGUAGAGGGAAGUGGAAUUCCUGGUGUANCGGUGAAAUGCGUAGAUAUCAGGAGGAACACCGGUGGCGAAGGCGACUUCCUGGACCAAUACUGACGCUGAGGCGCGAAGGUGUGGGGAGCAAAC
Molecule: ribosomal RNA, 780 nt
Filed under: uncultured delta proteobacterium
Lineage: Bacteria; Deltaproteobacteria
Description: bacterial SSU rRNA
Rfam family: Bacterial small subunit ribosomal RNA
Source: RNAcentral